AAAGCUUUCCUAAUACAGGGAUGCUGUGGUGUCCAGCACAGUGUGCCAUCUAUAGUGGGGGCUUAACCUGAGUACAAUAGAGAAAAGCUCUGGAGUUGGAGUGAGAAGACAAGCAAAGCUGCUUCUUGUCUUACCAGCGUAUGAGCUCCAGUAAGUUACAUAACCUUCCUAACCGAUUUUCCUCUUCUGCAAAUGAGAGGAAUGAUGCCAGCUUCACAGGGAUGAUGGAAAGAAUAAAUUAAGCCCCAGGCUCAGCAUAUUCUUCGCUGGACAGAUGCUCAGAAGAUGCUGGACAGAACCUGUGGAAAUGAAUUUAGAAGAACAAAGGUUCAUGAAAGCUAACCUUUCUCCAGCUCAGCUCAACCUCAGUGCUCCCCUGCCUACCCAGUCCUGUUGGCUUUGGAAUAAAUCACUUCCACCUAAAUACAGAGAGAGAGAUGAUGGAAACAGAAGGAAAGGAAUUCAGCCAAGGCCGCCCAGGCAAUUGGAGGCAGAGACAAGAUUCAAACUCAGGACCUACAUGAUUCACGAAGCACAAUUCCUGCAUGUAUACGAUGUCCUGGAACAACAGACAACUGCCAACGCAGCAGAAACUCCAGGAAAUUCAGAAGCAGGGGAGCUGCCCAAAGAUAGGUGGACGGUGUUCAUAGACUCAGCUUUGGGGAGCCACUGA
This 673-nucleotide long non-coding RNA is filed under the name Ovis aries (sheep). RNAcentral's name for it is "lncRNA (ENSOARG00000025449.1)". Lineage: Eukaryota; Metazoa; Chordata; Mammalia; Artiodactyla; Bovidae. The record is from RNAcentral.